Molecule: ribosomal RNA, 469 nt
Filed under: uncultured bacterium
Lineage: Bacteria
Description: partial 16S ribosomal RNA
Rfam family: Bacterial small subunit ribosomal RNA
Source: RNAcentral
GAUGAACGCUGGCGGCGUGCUUAACACAUGCAAGUCGAACGGUGAAGCUCCAGCUUGCUGGUGUGGAUCAGUGGCGAACGGGUGAGUAACACGUGAGCAACCUGCCCCUGACUCUGGGAUAACAGCCGGAAACGGCUGCUAAUACCGGAUAUGCACCAUGAACGCAUGUUCUGUGGUGGGAAAGAUUUUUCGGUUGGGGAUGGGCUCGCGGCCUAUCAGCUUGUUGGUGAGGUAAUGGCUCACCAAGGCGUCGGCGGGUAGCCGGCCUGAGAGGGUGACCGGCCACACUGGGACUGAGAAACGGCCCAGACUCCUACGGGAGGCAGCAGUGGGGAAUAUUGCACAAUGGGCGAAAGCCUGAUGCAGCAACGCCGCGUGAGGGAUGACGGCCUUCGGGUUGUAAACCUCUUUUAGCAGGGAAGAAGCGAGAGUGACGGUACCUGCAGAAAAAGCGCCGGCUAACUACGUG